RNAcentral lists this ribosomal RNA (1006 nucleotides) under Bacillus sp. 300B4_12AR2A. Its description in RNAcentral is "bacterial SSU rRNA". It matches the Rfam family "Bacterial small subunit ribosomal RNA", at positions 53 to 1039 of the family's 1533-position model. Lineage: Bacteria; Bacillati; Bacillota; Bacilli; Caryophanales; Bacillaceae. The record is from RNAcentral.
ACAUGCAAGUCGAGCGGACAGAAGGGAGCUUGCUCCCGGAUGUUAGCGGCGGACGGGUGAGUAACACGUGGGUAACCUGCCUGUAAGACUGGGAUAACUCCGGGAAACCGGAGCUAAUACCGGAUAGUUCCUUGAACCGCAUGGUUCAAGGAUGAAAGACGGUUUCGGCUGUCACUUACAGAUGGACCCGCGGCGCAUUAGCUAGUUGGUGAGGUAACGGCUCACCAAGGCGACGAUGCGUAGCCGACCUGAGAGGGUGAUCGGCCACACUGGGACUGAGACACGGCCCAGACUCCUACGGGAGGCAGCAGUAGGGAAUCUUCCGCAAUGGACGAAAGUCUGACGGAGCAACGCCGCGUGAGUGAUGAAGGUUUUCGGAUCGUAAAGCUCUGUUGUUAGGGAAGAACAAGUGCAAGAGUAACUGCUUGCACCUUGACGGUACCUAACCAGAAAGCCACGGCUAACUACGUGCCAGCAGCCGCGGUAAUACGUAGGUGGCAAGCGUUGUCCGGAAUUAUUGGGCGUAAAGGGCUCGCAGGCGGUUUCUUAAGUCUGAUGUGAAAGCCCCCGGCUCAACCGGGGAGGGUCAUUGGAAACUGGGAAACUUGAGUGCAGAAGAGGAGAGUGGAAUUCCACGUGUAGCGGUGAAAUGCGUAGAGAUGUGGAGGAACACCAGUGGCGAAGGCGACUCUCUGGUCUGUAACUGACGCUGAGGAGCGAAAGCGUGGGGAGCGAACAGGAUUAGAUACCCUGGUAGUCCACGCCGUAAACGAUGAGUGCUAAGUGUUAGGGGGUUUCCGCCCCUUAGUGCUGCAGCUAACGCAUUAAGCACUCCGCCUGGGGAGUACGGUCGCAAGACUGAAACUCAAAGGAAUUGACGGGGGCCCGCACAAGCGGUGGAGCAUGGUGGUUUAAUUCGAAGCAACGCGAAGAACCUUACCAGGUCUUGACAUCCUCUGACAACCCUAGAAGAUAGGGCUUUCCCUUCGGGGACAGAGUGACAGGU